Molecule: ribosomal RNA, 252 nt
Filed under: Vibrio parahaemolyticus
Lineage: Bacteria; Pseudomonadati; Pseudomonadota; Gammaproteobacteria; Vibrionales; Vibrionaceae
Description: partial 16S ribosomal RNA
Rfam family: Bacterial small subunit ribosomal RNA
Source: RNAcentral
AAAUUGAAGAGUUUGAUCAUGGCUCAGAUUGAACGCUGGCGGCAGGCCUAACACAUGCAAGUCGAGCGGAAACGAGUUAUCUGAACCUUCGGGGAACGAUAACGGCGUCGAGCGGCGGACGGGUGAGUAAUGCCUAGGAAAUUGCCCUGAUGUGGGGGAUAACCAUUGGAAACGAUGGCUAAUACCGCAUGAUGCCUACGGGCCAAAGAGGGGGACCUUCGGGCCUCUCGCGUCAGGAUAUGCCUAGGUGGG